GGGAUUGUGGCUCAGCGGUACAGCGCUCGCCUAGAACGAGGCCAUGGGCCCUGGGUUCGAUCCUCAGCAUCACA
RNAcentral lists this transfer RNA (74 nucleotides) under Marmota monax (woodchuck). RNAcentral describes it as "tRNA.Leu". The record is from RNAcentral. Lineage: Eukaryota; Metazoa; Chordata; Mammalia; Rodentia; Sciuridae.